AUUGAACGCUGGCGGAAUGCUUUACACAUGCAAGUCGAACGGUAGAGGGGGCAACCCCUCGAGAGUGGCGAACGGGUGAGUAGUAUAUCGGAACGUGCCCAGUCGUGGGGGAUAACGUAGCGAAAGUUACGCUAAUACCGCAUACGAUCUAAGGAUGAAAGCGGGGGAUCGCAAGAACUCGCGCGAUUGGAGCGGCCGAUAUCAGAUUAGGUAGUUGGUGGGGUAAAGGCUCACCAAGCCAACGAUCUGUAGCUUGUCUGAGAGGACGACCAGCCACACUGGAACUGAGACACGGUCCAGACUCCUACGGGAGGCAGCAGUGGGGAAUUUUGGACAAUGGACGCAAGUCUGAUCCAGCCAUUCCGCGUGCAGGAUGAAGGCCCUCGGGUUGUAAACUGCUUUUGUACGGAACGAAAAGGUCUCUCUUAAUACGGGGGACUCAUGACGGUACCGUAAGAAUAAGCACCGGCUAACUACGUGCCAGCCGCCGCGGUAA
This 496-nucleotide ribosomal RNA is filed under the name uncultured bacterium. Its description in RNAcentral is "partial 16S ribosomal RNA". It matches the Rfam family "Bacterial small subunit ribosomal RNA", at positions 30 to 523 of the family's 1533-position model. The record is from RNAcentral.